This 967-nucleotide ribosomal RNA is filed under the name Mycoplasmopsis ciconiae. Its description in RNAcentral is "bacterial SSU rRNA". It matches the Rfam family "Bacterial small subunit ribosomal RNA", at positions 49 to 1021 of the family's 1533-position model. The record is from RNAcentral. Lineage: Bacteria; Bacillati; Mycoplasmatota; Mycoplasmoidales; Metamycoplasmataceae.
CUAUACAUGCAUGUCGAGCGGAGUUCUUCGGACUUAGCGGCGAUGGGUGAGUAACACGUACUUAACGUACCUUUUAGACUGGAAUAACGACUAGAAAUGGUCGCUAAUGCCGGAUACUUAUAUUAGUCGCAUGAUUAAUAUAUAAAAGAAGCGUUUGCUUCACUAGAAGAUCGGGGUGCGUUGCAUUAGUUAGUUGGUAAGGUAAUGGCUUACCAAGACGAUGAUGCAUAGCGGGGUUGAGAGACUGAACCGCCACACUGGGACUGAGAUACGGCCCAGACUCCUACGGGAGGCAGCAGUAGGGAAUUUUCCACAAUGGGCGAAAGCCUGAUGGAGCGACACAGCGUGUGCGAUGAAGGCCUUCGGGUUGUAAAGCACUGUUAUAAGGGAAGAAAAAGUAGUAUAGGAAAUGAUAUUACCUUGACGGUACCUUGUCAGAAAGCAACGGCUAACUAUGUGCCAGCAGCCGCGGUAAUACAUAGGUUGCAAGCGUUAUCCGGAAUUAUUGGGCGUAAAGCGUCUGUAGGUUGUUUGUUAAGUCUGGUGUGAAAACUUGGGGCUCAACCCCAAAUUGCAUUGGAUACUGGCAAACUAGAGUUAUGUAGAGGUAAGCGGAAUUCCUUGUGAAGCGGUGAAAUGCGUAGAUAUAAGGAAGAACACCAACUUGGCGAAGGCAGCUUACUGGACAUACACUGACACUGAGAGACGAAAGCGUGGGGAGCAAACAGGAUUAGAUACCCUGGUAGUCCACGCUGUAAACGAUGAUGAUUAGCUGAUGGGGAACUCAUCGGCGCAGCUAACGCAUUAAAUCAUCCGCCUGAGUAGUAUGCUCGCAAGAGUGAAACUUAAAGGAAUUGACGGGGAUCCGCACAAGCGGUGGAGCAUGUGGUUUAAUUUGAAGAUACGCGUAGAACCUUACCCACUCUUGACAUCUUCCGCAAAGCUAUAGAGAUAUAGUGGAGUACAG